UGGGGAAUAUUGGACAAUGGGCGAAAGCCUGAUCCAGCCAUGCCGCGUGUGUGAAGAAGGUCUUCGGAUUGUAAAGCACUUUAAGUUGGGAGGAAGGGCAGUAAAUUAAUACUUUGCUGUUUUGACGUUACCGACAGAAUAAGCACCGGCUAACUCUGUGCCAGCAGCCGCGGUAAUACAGAGGGUGCAAGCAUUAAUCGGAAUUACUGGGCGUAAAGCGCGCGUAGGUGGUUCGUUAAGUUGGAUGUGAAAUCCCCGGGCUCAACCUGGGAACUGCAUUCAAAACUGACGAGCUAGAGUAUGGUAGAGGGUGGUGGAAUUUCCUGUGUAGCGG
Molecule: ribosomal RNA, 334 nt
Filed under: uncultured bacterium
Lineage: Bacteria
Description: partial 16S ribosomal RNA
Rfam family: Bacterial small subunit ribosomal RNA
Source: RNAcentral